AAUACUGUGUCAAUCACGUGAGCAUUUGAUAAAACACGUGAAAAGAAUAAAAUCCGUUACAAAGGGUUACAAAAUAAGUACGUCUUGUGUGUUACCUAAUUGGUACUUUUCAGUUUCGUGGCUGUUUUCACUAAAUUUGGAUUAGGCAAGUCGGGAUUCGGGGUGGUAACCUAAGAUUAAAAUCCCCGAAGCCACACUUAAAAAAUUGGAAAAUUCGGCUUAAAAAUCGCGGUAAUAUUAAAUCAACUGGAACAAGUGCUGUUUUUGGGUCAUGCAUGUCUUAAGUUACAUAACCUCACUUAUGGGGGUUGUGCCGUGUUGGAUUAAAAGUAUUGCGAUCGGCGUUCAAUGGUCGUGGGUGUUUAUUUCGAGUUUCGAGGGUUGGUGGAGGUUAUGGCUAAGAAAAUGGUGUUUGUGUUGCGUUAGUCAUUCGAGUAAACAUUUGGGAUUACUACGUCCACUACGCGUUGAUCGCUUUGGAAUUCGUCAAGGUCCGUCGUUUGCCGUCCUUUAAAGGUGCUAAACACGUCGAAAUUUCUCAGCUAAAUACGGCGCAUCGAGGAGCGUUGUUGGCAAGUUAUUCGAGUCCUAAUUAUAGCACACCGCGAGUUGUAAUUUAUUGGACGUCGGCCGGAUUGUUGGAAUUCUUUGCGCCGAGGCCAAAAAGCGCGGCUCCGGAAAGGAAAAUUUCGGAAAGAUGUGUGUCACUUUCUCCAAGGGGAAAAAGAAUUCCCUUAAGGCCGGGCGUUCGCCAGAU
This is a long non-coding RNA of Tribolium madens (black flour beetle), 757 nucleotides long. RefSeq lists it as uncharacterized. NCBI's taxonomy places the organism in Eukaryota, Metazoa, Arthropoda, Insecta, Coleoptera, Tenebrionidae. The transcript has 3 exons. The record is from RefSeq and is a predicted model, not a curated record.